UACGGAGGGAGCUAGCGUUGUUCGGAAUUACUGGGCGUAAAGCGCGCGUAGGCGGCUUUGUAAGUUAAAGGUGAAAGCCUGGAGCUCAACUUCAGAAUUGCCUUUAAGACUGCAUCGCUUGAAUCCGGGAGAGGUGAGUGGAAUUCCGAGUGUAGAGGUGAAAUUCGUAGAUAUUCGGAAGAACACCAGUGGCGAAGGCGGCUCACUGGACCGGCAUUGACGCUGAGGUGCGAAAGCGUGGGGAGCAAACAGG
RNAcentral lists this ribosomal RNA (253 nucleotides) under uncultured bacterium. Its description in RNAcentral is "partial 16S ribosomal RNA". It matches the Rfam family "Bacterial small subunit ribosomal RNA", at positions 524 to 776 of the family's 1533-position model. The record is from RNAcentral.